CUGUGAAACUGUGGUCAAUUAAACCUCUUUUCUUUGUAAAUUACCUAUUCUCAGGUAGUUCUUUAUAGCAACGUGAAAAGAGACUAAUACAACAAACAAUCUACUUACAAUAGAUCUGAGAAUAAAAUACCUGGGAAUAAAUUUAACCAAGAGGUGAAAGACCUGGACACUGAAAACUACAAAAAAUUGCUGGCAGAAGUUAAAGAGGAACGAAUUAAAUGACUCCUUCAGAAAUGCAACACAGAGGACUCUAGCCCAACGCAUAAUCUACACUCCAAACUGAAGUUUCUCCUUCAAACUUUGUCUGCUUUACCAUCCUGAUGAGCUUGCCUUCACAUUAACUCAAUGACCCAUGUUGCCCUGUUCACCGAAAUCCUGAAACCAACACUGAGGUAGUCCUGGAGCCUGGCUGUGGCUCUGCCCAACUUUCCUGAGCCACCUCCACUCCUUGCUACUACUGGUCACAGUGGAGAGAUACACAGAGGACAACAGGCAAGGAAAAAAGAGAGCUGAAGAUUAUCAUUAUUUCCUCACUCUUUUCAUCAAAGAUAUUAUCUCCUGGUCCUGAAAUAGUACUGCUCCUUGACACCCUCCUGAGAUACCAGACAAUAAAAAAUGUAGAUUUUAAAAAGUAACCAUCACCUUAUGCUUUAUAAUAAGCCACAAUUUUGUGCUGUUCUUAUUCUAUUAAAGACAAUCGCUACAAUAUAUAAACAUGGUUAGAAACCAUGCAAGCAAGAAAAGCAUGUGGUGAAAUAUUUAAAGAAUUGAAAGGAAAAAAAAAUCUACCUAGAAGUUUGUACCCAGUGAAAUUAUCCUCCAAAAGUGAAGGAAAAAUAAAGACUUUAUCAGAAAAAAGAAUUGAUGUAGACCUACCUUGCAAAGAAGGAUUACAAGAAGUUCUUCAGAGAGGAGGAAAAUGGUGUAGGUCAGAAACUUGGGUCUGCAUAAGCAACAGGGAGCAUCAGGAAAGAAGUUAGGUUGUCAAUAAAAGAGCCACGAGAGAGAGAGAAGAGAACUUGAAGAGACAAUAAAGGACACAAUUUGCUGCUUUCUGAAUCACUGAUGAAUCUGAGUCAGUUAAGGUAUAAAUGCUUCAAAAAUAAAUAGUAUGAAUGGCAAGAAUGGACUCUUGUUAAGUACUUUCUAAUAGUAGAAUUUGCAUUUAUUAUAAACCUGCAUCGAUGUUGCACUUUUAUCAAAAUUAAAGCCAUUAAGUCAAAUAAUCCUAGUUUAAUUAUGAAUAAGAGAUGUAUUAAUCAACUACUGUAAGUACAUUGUCACAUUAUUUAAAGAAAACUAAAAAAUCAUUUUGACAAGGAGAUCAUGUGCCAAACUUAAUAAACAUAGCCAGGACAAUUUGGGUUGCUUAAAGAUUUUUAAAAACAAAUUUGUAUGGAGAUUUUUGCAGCAUGGAUAUGGAUAUAGAUAUAGAUAAGUAGAUAUAUAUAUAUAUGAAACAAGAUCAUUAGCAAUGUUUAGGUCUG
Long non-coding RNA from Homo sapiens (human), 1487 nucleotides. RefSeq lists it as uncharacterized. The transcript has 5 exons. NCBI's taxonomy places the organism in Eukaryota, Metazoa, Chordata, Mammalia, Primates, Hominidae. The record is from RefSeq and is a predicted model, not a curated record.